Camelina sativa (false flax) is the source of this 825-nucleotide non-coding RNA. The record is from RefSeq and is a predicted model, not a curated record. Lineage: Eukaryota; Viridiplantae; Streptophyta; Magnoliopsida; Brassicales; Brassicaceae.
AAAAAAAAAACAAAAAGAAAAAGAAAAGAAAAAAAUGAAACGACAAAAACAUCAUUCUUGCCGUCUCCGCCUUCAGUUUCGCCUGAGAAAACAAUUUCUUUAUUUUACCUGUCAGCCAAUGGAUCUCUUCCUUGAUACCUUUUCCUUUUCCUUCAUUCUUCUCGUUUCUACCUUCGAUUCCUAUUUAUUAUGAAUCUCUAAAUCUUCUGAGCUUAAUCCUAUGACCAUCAUAGAUUUGCUGGACUUGCUUUCAUAUUUUCAUCUACUAUCCUCCAUUCCUCCUACAGAUCCUGGCCUUGAGAUCGGAAACAUGUGUGAAACCAUCGGUGGCAGCCAUGACUUAUACGAAGGUGAUUUUCUAUUUUCUAUUCAGUUUGUUUGUAUGUUUGAUGAGUUUAAUAUUGACGUUCUAUACUAUGGUUUAUAUAGUAGUUGAUGUUGGCUUUGGGUGAAAGGUAGAAUAUUCGCUGCAUUGAAUAUAAGAUUUUCUGUUUUUGAUUUGAUUUUGUUUUCUGAUAUGAUAUAGGAUAGUAAGAAUAGGGAUUGGAUCAAACUGUUUCCGUUUUCUGUUUUGAUUAUUGAUUUACUUAUUUAUUGAGGUACGAACAAAUGGUAAUUAAGAGGUAAGGGUUGGUCUGAUUGACUGAAAUGAGAAUAUAUGUGAUUAUACUGAAAUAUAUGCAGUUAAUGAUUUGAUUUCAUUUCGCCUCUUGUUAUGAUACGCUAGAGGAUCAUGAGGGAUUCCAUAUUGUUAGUUGACAUUUCUAUAUUUUCUCUGCAAUUAUGAUGAUUAUAAUGUAUCUAUAUAUACAUUUUUAAAGUACA